GUGGGGAAUCUUGCGCAAUGGGCGAAAGCCUGACGCAGCAACGCCGCGUGCGGGAAGAAGGCUUUCGGGCUGUAAACCGCUUUCAGCAGGAACGAAAAUGACGGUACCUGCAGAAGAAGGAGCGGCCAACUAUGUGCCAGCAGCCGCGGUGAUACAUAGGCUUCAAGCGUUGUCCGGAUUUAUUGGGCGUAAAGAGUUCGUAGGCGGUCGAGUAAGUCGGGUGUGAAAAUUCUGGGCUCAACCCAGAGACGCCACCCGAUACUGCUUAACUUGAGUUCGAUAGGGGAGUGGGGAAUUCCUAGUGUAGCGGUGAAAUGCGCAGAUAUUAGGAGGAACACCGGUGGCGAAGGCGCCACUCUGGAUCGACACUGACGCUGAGGAACGAAAGCAUGGGUAGCAAACAGGAUUAGAUACCCUAGUAGUCC
RNAcentral lists this ribosomal RNA (425 nucleotides) under uncultured bacterium. RNAcentral's name for it is "bacterial SSU rRNA". It matches the Rfam family "Bacterial small subunit ribosomal RNA", at positions 354 to 796 of the family's 1533-position model. The record is from RNAcentral.